GACAGGUGCUGCAUGGCUGUCGUCAGCUCGUGUCGUGAGAUGUGGUUAAGUCCCGCAACGAGCGCAACCCUUGCCUUUAGUUGCCAGCAGUUCGGCUGGGCACUCUAAAGGGACUGCCGGUGUUAAACCGGAGGAAGGUGGGGAUGACGUCAAGUCCUCAUGGCCUUUAUGACCAGGGCUACACACGUACUACAAUGGCCGAUACAAAGGGCAGCGACAUUGCGAAAUGGAGCCAAUCCCAUAAAUUCGGUCUCAGUCCGGAUUGGAGUCUGCAACUCGACUCCAUGAAGUUGGAAUCGCUAGUAAUCGUGGAUCAGCAUGCCACGGUGAAUACGUUCCCGGGCCUU
Molecule: ribosomal RNA, 347 nt
Filed under: uncultured Desulfobulbus sp.
Lineage: Bacteria; Pseudomonadati; Thermodesulfobacteriota; Desulfobulbia; Desulfobulbales; Desulfobulbaceae
Description: bacterial SSU rRNA
Rfam family: Bacterial small subunit ribosomal RNA
Source: RNAcentral